Molecule: ribosomal RNA, 169 nt
Filed under: uncultured bacterium
Lineage: Bacteria
Also listed under: 1 other name
Description: partial 16S rRNA
Rfam family: Bacterial small subunit ribosomal RNA
Source: RNAcentral
CCUACGGGAGGCAGCAGUGGGGAAUAUUGGACAAUGGGCGCAAGCCUGAUCCAGCCAUGCCGCGUGAGUGAUGAAGGCCUUAGGGUUGUAAAGCUCUUUUGUCCGGGAAGAUAAUGACUGUACCGGAAGAAUAAGCCCCGGCUAACUUCGUGCCAGCAGCCGCGGUAAU